CGAGCUUCGAGGGGGCGGGCUCGGGUGCGGUGCGGGCGCGGCCAGGGCUUCGAAAUCAGGCUGUCUGGUGGCUACUCCAGGAAACAUGGCCAAGUUUGUCCUGAAUCAGAACCUGCCUGACCUGGGUGGCCCUCACCUGUACCCCGGCUCCAC
Molecule: non-coding RNA, 153 nt
Organism: Cricetulus griseus (Chinese hamster)
Lineage: Eukaryota; Metazoa; Chordata; Mammalia; Rodentia; Cricetidae
Source: RefSeq, a predicted model, not a curated record